GAUGCAUGGCAGAUGAGCAGGUUGAGAGCCUCACCUUCAGGAGCACAGCGGGCCGAGGCCUUCGUGAGGGCCUUCCUGAAGCGCAGCACGCCCCGCAUGAGCCCGCAGGCCCGCGAGGACCAGCUGCAGCGCAAGGCGGUGGUCCUGGAGUACUUCACCCGCCACAAGCGCAAGGAGAAGAAGAAGAAAGCCAAAGGCCUCUCUGCCAGGCAAAGGAGGGAGCUGCGGCUCUUUGACAUUAAACCAGAGCAGCAGAGAUACAGCCUUUUCCUCCCUCUCCAUGAACUCUGGAAACAGUACAUCAGGGACCUGUGCAAUGGGCUCAAGCCAGACACGCAGCCACAGAUGAUUCAGGCCAAGCUCUUAAAGGCAGAUCUUCACGGGGCUAUUAUUUCAGUGACAAAAUCCAAAUGCCCCUCUUAUGUGGGUAUUACAGGAAUCCUUCUACAGGAAACAAAGCACAUUUUCAAAAUUAUCACCAAAGAAGACCGCCUGAAAGUUAUCCCCAAGCUAAACUGCGUGUUUACUGUGGAAACCGAUGGCUUUAUUU
This 550-nucleotide small RNA is filed under the name Pan troglodytes (chimpanzee). Its description in RNAcentral is "processed transcript". Lineage: Eukaryota; Metazoa; Chordata; Mammalia; Primates; Hominidae. The record is from RNAcentral.